CUUCAAGGAGAAAGUUUCUUCAAACCGGAGAAGAACAGGUUUCAGUCUGUAGUACAGGUAGAAGAGUCUGUACAGGUGUUCUCCACAGGUGUUCUGUUCUGUAGUUCUGUUCUGGUGUUCUGUUCAGGAGUUCUGUUCAGGUGUUCAGGUGUUCUGUUCAGGUGUUCUGUUCUGGUGUUCUGUUCAGGUGUUCUGUUCAGGUGUUCUGUUCUGGUGUUCUGUUCAGGUGUUCUGUUCAGGUGUUCUGUUCAGGUGUUCUGUGUUCUGUUCUGUUGUUCUGUUCAGGUGUUCUGUUCUGGUGUUCUGUUCAGGUGUUCUGUUCAGGAGUUCUGUUCAGGAGUUCUGUUCUGGUGUUCUGUUCAGGUGUUCUGUUCUGGUGUUCUGUUCUGGUGUUCUGUUCAGGUGUUCUGUUCUGGUGUUCUGUUCAGGUGUUCUCUGCAGGUGUUCUGUUCAGGUGUUCUGUUCAGGUGUUCUCUGCAGGUGUUCUGUUCAGGUGUUCUGUUCAGGUGUUCUGUUCAGGAGUUCUGUUCUGGUGUUCUGUUCAGGUGUUCUCUGCAGGUGUUCUGUUCAGGUGUUCUGUUCAGGUGUUCUCUGCAGGUGUUCUGUUCAGGUGUUCUGUUCAGGAGUUCUGUUCAGGUGUUCUCUGCAGGUGUUCUGUUCAGGUGUUCUCUGCAGGUGUUCUGUUCAGGUGUUCUGGUGUUCUGUUCUGUUGUUCUGUUCAGGUGUUCUGUUCUGGUGUUCUGUUCAGGUGUUCUGUUCUGGUGUUCUGUUCAGGUGUUCUGUUCUGGUGUUCUGUUCAGGUGUUCUGUUCAGGAGUUCUGUUCUGGUGUUCUGUUCAGGUGUUCUGUUCAGGUGUUCUCUGCAGGUGUUCUGUUCAGGUGUUCUGUUCAGGAGUUCUGUUCAGGUGUUCUCUGCAGGUGUUCUGUUCAGGUGUUCUCUGCAGGUGUUCUGUUCAGGUGUUCUGGUGUUCUGUUCUGUUGUUCUGUUCAGGUGUUCUGUUCUGGUGUUCUGUUCAGGUGUUCUGUUCUGGUGUUCUGUUCAGGUGUUCUGUUCAGGAGUUCUGUUCUGGUGUUCUGUUCAGGUGUUCUCUGCAGGUGUUCUGUUCAGGUGUUCUGUUCAGGUGUUCUCUGCAGGUGUUCUGUUCAGGUGUUCUGUUCAGGAGUUCUGUUCAGGUGUUCUCUGCAGGUGUUCUGUUCAGGUGUUCUGUUCAGGUGUUCUGUUCAGGUGUUCUGUUCAGGAGUUCUGUUCAGGAGUUCUGUUCUGGUGUUCUGUUCAGGUGUUCUCUGCAGGUGUUCUGUUCAGGUGUUCUGUUCAGGAGUUCUGUUCAGGUGUUCUGUUCAGGUGUUCUGUUCUGGUGUUCUGUUCAGGUGUUCUGUUCUGGUGUUCUGUUCAGGUGUUCUCUGCAGGUGUUCUGUUCAGGUGUUCUGUUCAGGUGUUCUCUGCAGGUGUUCUGUUCAGGUGUUCUGUUCAGGAGUUCUGUUCUGGUGUUCUGUUCUGGUGUUCUGUUCAGGUGUUCUCUGCAGGUGUUCUGUUCAGGUGUUCUGUUCAGGUGUUCUGUUCUGGUGUUCUGUUCAGGUGUUCUGUUCUGUUGUUCUGUUCUGGUGUUCUGUUCAGGUGUUCUCUGCAGGUGUUCUGUUCAGGUGUUCUGUUCAGGUGUUCUGUUCAGGUGUUCUCUGCAGGAGUUCUGUUCAGGUGUUCUGUUCAGGAGUUCUGUUCUGGUGUUCUGUUCAGGUGUUCUGUUCAGGUGUUCUGUUCAGGUGUUCUCUGCAGGAGUUCUGUUCAGGUGUUCUGUUCAGGAGUUCUGUUCAGGUGUUCUGUUCUGGUGUUCUGUUCAGGUGUUCUGUUCUGGUGUUCUGUUCAGGAGUUCUGUUCAGGUGUUCUGUUCUGGUGUUCUGUUCAGGUGUUCUGUUCAGGUGUUCUGUUCAGGUGUUCUGUUCAGGAGUUCUGUUCAGGUGUUCUGUUCUGGUGUUCUGUUCUGGUGUUCUGUUCUGGUGUUCUGUUCAGGUGUUCUGUUCUGGUGUUCUGUUCAGGUGUUCUGUUCAGGUGUUCUGUUCUGGUGUUCUGUUCAGGUGUUCUGUUCAGGUGUUCUGUUCAGGAGUUCUGUUCAGGUGUUCUGUUCAGGAGUUCUGUUCUGGUGUUCUGUUCAGGUGUUCUGUUCAGGUGUUCUGUUCAGGUGUUCUGUUCAGGAGUUCUGUUCUGGUGUUCUGUUCUGGUGUUCUGUUCAGGUGUUCUGUUCAGGUGUUCUCUGCAGGAGUUCUGUUCAGGUGUUCUGUUCAGGAGUUCUGUUCAGGUGUUCUGUUCUGGUGUUCUGUUCAGGUGUUCUGUUCUGGUGUUCUGUUCAGGAGUUCUGUUCAGGUGUUCUGUUCUGGUGUUCUGUUCAGGAGUUCUGUUCAGGUGUUCUGUUCAGGUGUUCUGUUCUGGUGUUCUGUUCAGGUGUUCUGUUCAGGUGUUCUGUUCUGGUGUUCUGUUCUGGUGUUCUGUUCAGGAGUUCUGUUCAGGUGUUCUGUUCAGGUGUUCUGUUCUGGUGUUCUGUUCUGUUGUUCUGUUCAGGUGUUCUGUUCAGGUGUUCUCUGCAGGAGUUCUGUUCAGGUGUUCUGUUCAGGAGUUCUGUUCUGGUGUUCUGCUCUGGUGUUCUGUUCAGGAGUUCUGUUCAGGUGUUCUGUUCAGGUGUUCUGUUCUGGUGUUCUGUUCAGGUGUUCUGUUCAGGAGUUCUGUUCAGGUGUUCUGUUCAGGAGUUCUGUUCAGGUGUUCUGUUCAGGAGUUCUGUUCUGGUGUUCUGUUCUGGUGUUCUGUUCUGGUGUUCUGUUCAGGUGUUCUCUGCAGGAGUUCUGUUCAGGUGUUUUGUUCAGGAGUUCUGUUCUGGUGUUCUGUUCAGGUGUUCUCUGCAGGUGUUCUGUUCAGGUGUUCUGUUCAGGAGUUCUGUUCUGGUGUUCUGUUCUGGUGUUCUGUUCAGGUGUUCUGUUCUGGUGUUCUGUUCUGGUGUUCUGUUCAGGUGUUCUGUUCUGGUGUUCUGUUCAGGAGUUCUGUUCAGGUGUUCUGUUCUGUUGUUCUGUUCAGGUGUUCUGUUCAGGUGUUCUGUUCUGUGUUCUGUUCUGGUGUUCUGUUCUGGUGUUCUGUUCAGGAGUUCUGUUCAGGUGUUCUGUUCAGGUGUUCUGUUCUGGUGUUCUGUUCAGGAGUUCUGUUCAGGUGUUCUGUUCUGUUGUUCUGGUCAGGUGUUCUGUUCAGGAGUUCUGUUCAGGUGUUCUGUUCAGGUGUUCUGUUCUGGUGUUCUGUUCAGGAGUUCUGUUCAGGUGUUCUGUUCUGUUGUUCUGUUCAGGUGUUCUGUUCAGGUGUUCUCUGCAGGUGUUCUGUUCAGGUGUUCUGUUCUGGUGUCCGAUCUUCAUCAGGUGGAAACCCAAACGUUUGUUCCUCCGUUGUUCUCACUAUAAAGAUGUUAUUCUGAACAAGCGCUGGAAAACCCCUGAAGGGAUCACGUGA
This 3477-nucleotide long non-coding RNA is filed under the name Oryzias javanicus (javanese ricefish). RNAcentral's name for it is "lncRNA (ENSOJAG00000016923.1)". The record is from RNAcentral. Lineage: Eukaryota; Metazoa; Chordata; Actinopteri; Beloniformes; Adrianichthyidae.